GGGUAAUAUGGUAUAUUACUCAAAUGGAAGAGUUUUGUCUCUCUUUAUCUCUUAAACAGAUAUAUGCCCAGAAUCCGAUGAUAGGCUUACACCAACCUUUGAGUCUCUCUACAUAUUUCUUGAGAGCUACUGCCUAACUUAACAUUUCACAAAGCCUCCUUGAGUACUACUGAGAGGGUACCUUCAUCACUUUUUUCUCUUGUGCUGUACAGUGCCACAUAUUUCAUCAUAUAACUUCUACUUAACCUUAUAUUUUUGCUUAGAAUGAUUAUAAGAUGGAGCUUGUUCAAUGACAAAACUCUUUGGAUAAGCAAGAAGAAACUGUCCUGGAAUUGUUAAAUGGAAAAUGUCAAUAACUGACCACAGGAUUGGAACACAGUCAGCUACAUCAUGGGGAAAACAUUACGACCUGUUUAAAAACCAUGUUGUUGUCUCUAUCCACAACCAUAUCAUAGUUACCCCAGUAAUCUGAGUAUUGCCAAAUUGUCAACCUCUAUUGCCUGACACAAAGAGAGGUAUUUUUAUAACAGGAAUUUGAACAUGGACUUUGGAGCGAGAUAUGACUGUGACACUUAUUUGCUGUCAGAUCUUGGAAAUGAGACACAUUUUUUGAGAAC
Diceros bicornis minor is the source of this 617-nucleotide long non-coding RNA. RefSeq lists it as uncharacterized. The transcript has 3 exons. Lineage: Eukaryota; Metazoa; Chordata; Mammalia; Perissodactyla; Rhinocerotidae. The record is from RefSeq and is a predicted model, not a curated record.